UGGGGAAUAUUGCACAAUGGGCGCAAGCCUGAUGCAGCCAUGCCGCGUGUAUGAAGAAGGCCUUCGGGUUGUAAAGUACUUUCAGUCGGGAGGAAGGUGGUAAGGUUAAUAACCUUAUCAAUUGACGUUACCGACAGAAGAAGCACCGGCUAACUCCGUGUCAGCAGCCGCGGUAAUACGGAGGGUGCAAGCGUUAAUCGGAAUUACUGGGCGUAAAGCGCACGCAGGCGGUUGAUUGAGUCAGAUGUGAAAUCCCCGGGCUUAACCCGGGAAUUGCAUCUGAUACUGGUCAGCUAGAGUCUUGUAGAGGGGGGUAGAAUUCCAUGUGUAGCGGUGAAAUGCGUAGAGAUGUGGAGGAAUACCGGUGGCGAAGGCGGCCCCCUGGACAAAGACUGACGCUCAGGUGCGAAAGCGUGGGGAGCAAACAGG
RNAcentral lists this ribosomal RNA (429 nucleotides) under Chloroflexota bacterium. RNAcentral describes it as "Chloroflexi bacterium partial 16S ribosomal RNA". It matches the Rfam family "Bacterial small subunit ribosomal RNA", at positions 355 to 776 of the family's 1533-position model. The record is from RNAcentral. Lineage: Bacteria; Bacillati; Chloroflexota.